RNAcentral lists this ribosomal RNA (406 nucleotides) under uncultured bacterium. Its description in RNAcentral is "partial 16S ribosomal RNA". It matches the Rfam family "Bacterial small subunit ribosomal RNA", at positions 30 to 526 of the family's 1533-position model. The record is from RNAcentral.
AUUGAACGCUGGCGGCAGGCCUAACACAUGCAAGUCGAACGAGUGGCGGAAGGGUGAGCAAUGUCUGGGAAACUGCCUGAUGGAGGGGGACAACAACUGGAAACGGUUGCUAAUACCGUAUACCUUCAGCUGUGUCCAGAUGGGAUUAGCUUGUUGGUGGGGUAACGGCACACCAAGGCGACGAUCCCUAGCUGGUCUGAGAGGAUGAUCAGCCACACUGGAACUGAGACACGGUCCAGACUCCUACGGGAGGCAGCAGUGGGGAAUAUUGCACAAUGGGCGCAAGCCUGAUGCAGCCAUGCCGCGUGUAUGAAGAAGGCCUUCGGAUUGUAAAGUACUUUCAGCGGGGAGGCGUUACCCGCAGAAGAAGCACCGGCUAACUCCGUGCCAGCAGCCGCGGUAAUUC